UACAGAGGGGGCAAGCGUUAUUCGGAAUUAUUGGGCGUAAAGGGCGCGUAGGCGGCUUUUCAAGUGGCGGGUGAAAUCCCUCGGCUUAACCGAGGAACUGCCUGCCAGACUGGAUUGCUUGAGGCCGGGAGAGGCGAGUGGAAUUCCCAGUGUAGCGGUGAAAUGCGUAGAUAUUGGGAGGAACACCAGUGGCGAAGGCGGCUCGCUGGACCGGUUCUGACGCUGAGGCGCGAAAGCGUGGGGAGCAAACAGG
This 253-nucleotide ribosomal RNA is filed under the name uncultured prokaryote. RNAcentral describes it as "partial 16S ribosomal RNA". It matches the Rfam family "Bacterial small subunit ribosomal RNA", at positions 524 to 776 of the family's 1533-position model. The record is from RNAcentral.